AGGAAGACACGCCUAGUCCAGAGAAACUGUACCACUGUGUUCGCUGUGUACACAACAAUACAGCCACCAGAAGCUUAAAAAAAAAAUAAACUGUUCCCAAUUAACGGAUUCACACGGACGUACCUGUAAUGGAGCGGAGCAACGUGAAGAGGACCGUGAAGAUAUUGUCAAGAUGAUGACGAUGAUGAUGCUAGUAGCCUAAAGUUUUCCGUACUGAGAUUUUUUCUACUUUUGGUGGGGCACUUUGCAAUACAGAUGUUCUGGUGAGCUUGCUCCAAAAAGUGGAUGUGAGGAGACACCAGCUCAAGAAUGAGAAGCACCUUUGUUCUACGGUUUCCAGGAAAAGUGGUGAGGUUCUCAAGGGGACAGGCAGCCAGUGGGAUGCGUGGCACAAAGAGGAAAGAGGUCGGAGGCGGCAGAUAGUGAGCUGCAGUGUACUACAGCAUACUGGGUCAUAGGAGGAGC
Molecule: long non-coding RNA, 465 nt
Organism: Pundamilia nyererei
Lineage: Eukaryota; Metazoa; Chordata; Actinopteri; Cichliformes; Cichlidae
Exons: 3
Source: RefSeq, a predicted model, not a curated record